This 424-nucleotide ribosomal RNA is filed under the name uncultured bacterium. RNAcentral's name for it is "bacterial SSU rRNA". It matches the Rfam family "Bacterial small subunit ribosomal RNA", at positions 355 to 776 of the family's 1533-position model. The record is from RNAcentral.
UGAGGAAUAUUGGUCAAUGGGCGCAAGCCUGAACCAGCCAUGCCGCGUGCAGGAUGAAGCAUCUAUGGUGUGUAAACUGCUUUUAUACGGGAAGAAACCCUGGAACGUGUUCCAGGUUGACGGUACCGUAAGAAUAAGGACCGGCUAACUCCGUGCCAGCAGCCGCGGUAAUACGGAGGGUCCAAGCGUUAUCCGGAAUCAUUGGGUUUAAAGGGUCCGUAGGCGGGCUUGUAAGUCAGUGGUGAAAUCUCCCGGCUCAACCGGGAAAUGGCCAUUGAUACUGCUAGUCUUGAAUUAUUAGGAAGUAACUAGAAUAUGUAGUGUAGCGGUGAAAUGCUUAGAGAUUACAUGGAAUACCAAUUGCGAAGGCAGGUUACUACUAAUAUAUUGACGCUGAUGGACGAAAGCGUGGGUAGCGAACAGG